Molecule: long non-coding RNA, 950 nt
Organism: Neltuma alba
Lineage: Eukaryota; Viridiplantae; Streptophyta; Magnoliopsida; Fabales; Fabaceae
Exons: 3
Source: RefSeq, a predicted model, not a curated record
UCUUCGUCUCUGUGUUUAUUCUGCCUAGAAGACAGAGUCAUGUUGCUGCACUUCAACCCUGCCGUCUUGGCGAAGUUUGCUCAAAUCAGAUUUUGUGACGUCUGAUAAGCUCCACUGCUUCUGACUUCAGAGGUUUUUGCUGCACUCGGGGUGGUGCAAAAAAUGGCACCAUUCUUGGCCUCCUUUGAAAAUUUUAACUAGCGGCAUUUUCUAGUCGGUAGCUACGAAACGAGGGACGGUGGACGGUGCAUCAGGAUUUGCUGUCGAUUCUUUUUCUGCCGAAAGUUGCCAAGAAGCUUUUACUGUGUUUCUUGCUAUCUAAUGUUGAGUGGCCCAAAAGAAAAAAAGACACCAUCAACCAUUUUCACAGACUUUCAUUGGAACAAAGGAAAGAGAGAGAGAAAGAAAAAGAACAAAGCAAAGCAACCAGUUCAAAUAGAAUCUUAAGAAUGUAAGCACGAAUAGUAAAAAGGGGACGUGGGAACUUAUCUGACAAUUGAUCAAAGCUUGAAGAGCACAAAAGUUGGCGGCAACAACAGUCAACAGCCUCCCACUUUCUAAGAUUGCUUGCUCAAGUGAGCAUCUCAGGCUCAGAGACACCAUGGUACAUACUGAUCUGAUGCAAACUGCAACUGUGGUUGGAAUACUCAUUUGAGCAAGAAACUUUAAAAAGGGGAACUUUAAUCUCUAUGCCCCUCUUCCUUCUCCUCGCCCCCCUUCCCCUCUCUCUCACUGUGUGUGAAUCUAGCAAUACCGCACAAAUACAAUUCCAUAUCCCAUAGUUCCAUAACAUAUAUAAUAUCUAGGAAGUGCAGGAUUGUCUAAAAGCCACAGCCCAAAGUGGCCACCGAAUGAGAGCUAAAUUGCCCACUUUCUCGUGUAUUUGUAAGCAAGUCCUAUUUGGAUGCAAUUUGAGUCGAGGAACACUAACUAGGCUGCCCUAAAUGACU